RNAcentral lists this small RNA (29 nucleotides) under Bombyx mori (domestic silkworm). Its description in RNAcentral is "ovarian small RNA-16302". Lineage: Eukaryota; Metazoa; Arthropoda; Insecta; Lepidoptera; Bombycidae. The record is from RNAcentral.
GCACCAGGAGGAUGGGGCGACACGUCGGC